This is a long non-coding RNA of Gadus morhua (Atlantic cod), 362 nucleotides long. RefSeq lists it as uncharacterized. NCBI's taxonomy places the organism in Eukaryota, Metazoa, Chordata, Actinopteri, Gadiformes, Gadidae. The record is from RefSeq and is a predicted model, not a curated record. The transcript is spliced from 2 exons.
AUUCACCAUCACAUUUUCAACCAUCACCAUAAAUCAACCAUUUCAAUCAAAAUUCCACGUUGAAAUAACAUCUUCUGCUAUCUGGGUACCUGCCUUUCAGUUUGAGGGGGCAUUGUUUUGUAUUUGUUUCCACACGGCACAACUUAGCGACACACCACCUGGCAGAGCAUGGCAAGGGAGAAACAACACGGUCGGUUGUCUCCACACUCGGUAAAGUUGAUUUAAGAUAAAGAGUUAAGACAUUACAUGUAAACAAAGAAGACGAAGACAGAAGAAAAUACAAGAUUCAGCCCUUUUGGUAGUGUGCAGCCUACGAGUUCUCACGGGUCGGUCGGUGACUGUGAAUAAACCCUGUUCUUAAA